Molecule: transfer RNA, 74 nt
Filed under: Populus trichocarpa (black cottonwood)
Lineage: Eukaryota; Viridiplantae; Streptophyta; Magnoliopsida; Malpighiales; Salicaceae
Rfam family: tRNA
About the family: Transfer RNA (tRNA) molecules are approximately 80 nucleotides in length. Their secondary structure includes four short double-helical elements and three loops (D, anti-codon, and T loops).
Source: Rfam by way of RNAcentral
GCAUCUAUGGUUAAAUAGUUAAAACGCCCAACUCAUAACUGGCGAAUUCGUAGGUUCAAUUCUUACUAGAUGCA